This 497-nucleotide ribosomal RNA is filed under the name uncultured bacterium. RNAcentral's name for it is "partial 16S ribosomal RNA". It matches the Rfam family "Bacterial small subunit ribosomal RNA", at positions 28 to 507 of the family's 1533-position model. The record is from RNAcentral.
GACGAACGCUGGCGGCGUGCCUAAUACAUGCAAGUUGAGCGAUGAAGAUUGGUGCUUGCACCAAUUUGAAGAGCAGCGAACGGGUGAGUAACGCGUGGGGAAUCUGCCUUUGAGCGGGGGACAACAUUUGGAAACGAAUGCUAAUACCGCAUAACAACUUUAAACAUAAGUUUUAAGUUUGAAAGAUGCAAUUGCAUCACUCAAAGAUGAUCCCGCGUUGUAUUAGCUAGUUGGUGAGGUAAAGGCUCACCAAGGCGAUGAUACAUAGCCGACCUGAGAGGGUGAUCCGGCAAAAUGGGAAGGGGAAACGGCCCAAAACUCUAACGGAAGGAGCAGGAGGGGAAUUUCGGAAAUGGGCGAAAGGCUGGACGAGGAAAGCCGGGGGAGUGGAGGAGGGUUUCGGAUCGGAAAACUCCGUUGGUAGGGAAGAAAGUUGGUGAGAGUGGAAAGCUCAUAAAGUGACGGUAACUAACCAGAAAGGGACGGCUAACUACGUG